GGAAUAUUGGGCAAUGGAGGCAACUCUGACCCAGCGACGCCGCGUGCGGGAUGAAGGCCUUCGGGUUGUAAACCGCUUUCAGUAGGGAAGAAGCGAAAGUGACGGUACCUACAAAAGAAGCACCGGCUAACUAUGUGCCAGCAGCCGCGGUAAUACAUAGGGUGCAAGCGUUGUCCGGAAUUAUUGGGCGUAAAGAGCUCGUAGGUCGUUUGUUACGUCGGAUGUGAAAACCCGAGGCUCAACCUCAGGCCUGCAUUCGAUACGGGCAAACUAGAGUUUGGUAGGGGAGACUGGAAUUCCUGGUGUAGCGGUGGAAUGCGCAGAUAUCAGGAGGAACACCAAUGGCGAAGGCAGGUCUCUGGGCCAAUACUGACACUGAGGAGCGAAAGUCUGGGGAGCGAACAGGAUUAGAUACCCUGGUAGUCCAGACCGUAAACGGUGGGCACUAGUUGUGGGAACCUUCCACGGUUUCUGCGACGCAGCUAACGCAUUAAGUGCCCCGCCUGGGGAGUACGAUCGCAAGAUUAAAACUCAAAUGAAUUGACGGA
RNAcentral lists this ribosomal RNA (548 nucleotides) under uncultured bacterium. RNAcentral describes it as "bacterial SSU rRNA". It matches the Rfam family "Bacterial small subunit ribosomal RNA", at positions 358 to 917 of the family's 1533-position model. The record is from RNAcentral.